UGGUAAUGAGUGGAUGAAUUUUUUGUUUGGAUGGGGGGGGGUUGUUUUAAAAAUAAUCAUUUUUUUUGACC
Molecule: ribosomal RNA, 71 nt
Filed under: Acanthocheilonema reconditum
Lineage: Eukaryota; Metazoa; Nematoda; Chromadorea; Rhabditida; Onchocercidae
Description: partial 28S ribosomal RNA
Source: RNAcentral